This 301-nucleotide ribosomal RNA is filed under the name uncultured bacterium. Its description in RNAcentral is "partial 16S ribosomal RNA". It matches the Rfam family "Bacterial small subunit ribosomal RNA", at positions 509 to 807 of the family's 1533-position model. The record is from RNAcentral.
CAGUAGCCGCGGUAAAACGUAGGGUGCAAGCGUUAAUCGGAAUUACUGGGCGUAAAGCGUGCGCAGGCGGUUAUAUAAGACAGAUGUGAAAUCCCCGGGCUCAACCUGGGAACUGCAUUUGUGACUGUAUAGCUAGAGUACGGCAGAGGGGGAUGGAAUUCCGCGUGUAGCAGUGAAAUGCGUAGAUAUGCGGAGGAACACCGAUGGCGAAGGCAAUCCCCUGGGCCUGUACUGACGCUCAUGCACGAAAGCGUGGGGAGCAAACAGGAUUAGAUACCCCAGUAGUCUCUGUCUCUUAUAC